CGUAGGGUGCGAGCGUUAAUCGGAAUUACUGGGCGUAAAGGGUGCGCAGGCGGUUAUAUAAGACAGAUGUGAAAUCCCCGGGCUCAACCUGGGAACUGCGUUUGUGACUGUAUGACUAGAGUACGGUAGAGAGGGGUGGAAUUCCUGGUGUAGCAGUGAAAUGCGUAGAUAUCAGGAGGAACAUCGAUGGCGAAGGCAGCCCCUUGGACCUGUACUGACGCUCAUGCACGAAAGCGUGGGAGCAAACAGGAUU
This 253-nucleotide ribosomal RNA is filed under the name uncultured bacterium. Its description in RNAcentral is "partial 16S ribosomal RNA". It matches the Rfam family "Bacterial small subunit ribosomal RNA", at positions 526 to 779 of the family's 1533-position model. The record is from RNAcentral.